AGUAAUGUAUGGGGAUCUGCCCGAUAGAGGGGGAUAACUACUGGAAAACGGUGGUUAAUACCGCAUAAUGUCUACGGACCAAAGCAGGGGCUCUUCGGACCUUGCACUAUCGGAUGAACCCAUAUGGGAUUAGCUAGUAGGUGGGGUAAAGGCUCACCUAGGCGACGAUCUCUAGCUGGUCUGAGAGGAUGAUCAGCCACACUGGGACUGAGACACGGCCCAG
Molecule: ribosomal RNA, 223 nt
Filed under: uncultured bacterium
Lineage: Bacteria
Description: partial 16S ribosomal RNA
Rfam family: Bacterial small subunit ribosomal RNA
Source: RNAcentral